AAGUUCAUUUAAGGGCUUUACCGCUUUUCGUCAUAUCGAUAGGCACAUAUUAAUCUUGAAUACACAAUUUCAGUGACAUAUCGCGGAUAAUACAGAUAUCCAAAUUGCCCUUGUAGGUAUAAAAUGUGAUUAACUGGAAAAUUAAGUUAAAAACGCUUUAUAGCAUUGACAAUAUUAUCUGUUGCUUGGUAUAUAUGCAUAAAAUGUUCAGUUUCUAAACCUUGGCUGCAAAUCUCUUAUUAGCUUAGUUAAUUCGUGAGAAACGAAGCAGUCAAACUGUUUCAUGUUUCAAUUAG
RNAcentral lists this long non-coding RNA (296 nucleotides) under Mytilus galloprovincialis (Mediterranean mussel). The record is from RNAcentral. Lineage: Eukaryota; Metazoa; Mollusca; Bivalvia; Mytilida; Mytilidae.